GUCCGAUCAGGUUGUUGGCGGGGUAACGGCCCACCAAGCCUAUAACCGGUACGGGCCCUGAGAGGGGGAGCCCGGAGAUGGAAACUGAGACAAAGUUCCAGGCCCUACGGGGCGCAGCAGGCGCGAAAACUCCACAAUGCGCGAAAGCGUGAUGGGGUCAUCCCGAGUGCCGUCCGAUGAGGAUGGCUUUUCCUUGGCGUAAGGACCCGAGGGAAUAAAGGGGGGGCAAGACUGGUGUCAGCCGCCGCGGUAAUACCAGCCCCCUGAGUAGUAAGGACGAUUAUUUGGCCUAAAGCGUCCGUAGCCGGCUUAGUAAGUCUCUCGUCAAAUCCAAUGAUUCAAUCAUUGAGUCGCAAGAGAUACUGCUAGGCUUGAGGACGGGAGAGGUCGACGGUAGUCCAGGGGUAGGGGUGAAAUCCUAUAAUCCCUGGAGGACCACCAGUGGCGAAGGCGGUCGACUAGAACGCGCCUGACGGUGAUGGACGAAAGCUGGGGGAGCGAAUCGGAUUAGAUACCCGAGUAGUCCCAGCUGUAAACGAUGCAGGCUGGGUGUUGGGGUAGCUACGAGCUACUCCAGUGCCGCAGAGAAGUUGUUAAGCCUGUCGCCUGGGGAGUACGGCCGCAAGGCUGAAAC
This 634-nucleotide ribosomal RNA is filed under the name uncultured archaeon. Its description in RNAcentral is "bacterial SSU rRNA". It matches the Rfam family "Archaeal small subunit ribosomal RNA", at positions 219 to 855 of the family's 1478-position model. The record is from RNAcentral.